Ceratina calcarata is the source of this 4094-nucleotide long non-coding RNA. RefSeq lists it as uncharacterized. Lineage: Eukaryota; Metazoa; Arthropoda; Insecta; Hymenoptera; Apidae. The record is from RefSeq and is a predicted model, not a curated record. The transcript is spliced from 4 exons.
ACCGCCGCCAAUCUCUAUAUGUAUAUACGUAUGUACACGUCUGUAUGUACCAGCUGUCUGCUAGUGGAUGUAAUACUUUGCCAAGUGGGGGUGAAGAUGAAACGGUAGUGGAGGUAAACGGUGACACUACUCCGUGUCCCCUUUUAUUCCUCUGUCUUUCGUCAGUUACAAUUCUCUUUCCCAUUAUUCUGCUUCACGAUUAUUUAUCUGUUUGCCAGAAUCAUGCCCCAAACUCCGAAGCUCCCGAUGCAUCAAUUAAGUCGAGACGAAGGAAGUUGAUAAAAUAGAAUUCUCGUCGGAGCGUCGAGCGUUCGAAAUCGUGAGGUUCAUACGAAACUCUAUUCUCCUUUGAAACCUACAAGAAAUUAAGAACCGAACGAUACCUAUCACAGAUUCAACUUGCCUUUACGCUUUUCAAAUGAAAAUCGUUGUACGGAAUGGAAAAUCUCUGUCUGAGGAUACCGUAAAUAAGAGUCGUGGCUCAGGAUGUCCUAACGUUCGUUCGAUCGACGUUUGCGCCGUGGCCGAUCGAUGGGGACGUCGGUGAUCGGUGUCGAUACGCGACCAAGUAGUCCGGGUCAAAAGACAAAUAGAAAUUGCGGAUUGAACGCGGGUUGAACGGUCACGUGGAUCGCACGUGGGUUUCAUUCAUGAAGGUCCCGGAGGUGGCGGCGUCAGCUGUGGUAACGGUAGUGGUAAAUAGCGGCCGGUGGUGGUAGGUAAUGGCAAGUAGUGGCAGACACAUAGUGGUAGUGUAGUGAUUUCGGUUUCGGUACGGUGGUGAUGACUGAGUCGCUAGCUAGGUUUGUGGUCGUAAGUAACGCCGCUAUCCACGCGAGCCUUACCCAUUGUCACGGCUCUUCGACCAUCGCGUGAACCGCCGUUGUCACGCGCUUAGCUUCCUAGGAAAUGGGUGUCAUAAAUAGACAGCGGAUUUUUAUUCGAUGUAAGACAGUCACUUAAGAGAAUGUCGAUUGCAAUCAACUUUAUCAUCUAAGGAUCGCAAUCUACAUUCGCUGUUUAUAUUUUGUACACUGCGUCACAUGCAGCGUUCGUACUUCCGGUUGUUUUAUAAAUGCAUAAAAUCCGCAGUCGUGGAACAACAGCGAGGGGCUAUGUAUUACUUGAGAUUCUGUGUACACGUGUAGAUUGAAACAACAAAGUACGCCUGAUUUUGUCAAUGCUCAAUUACUAUCUUCGGGUCUUGUCCCAAGCUGUAAAUAUUUUCAUACGCGUGUGAUAUCGCAUUGAAAUAUCUUUCUUUAUGUACACAGAUUCGAUGCUUCUUCGAUGUAUCAUCUACUGUUUCGUAGAAGCACCUACGUAAUGAUGCUUAUCCAAAUGAUGAUGCACGUAUCGGUGCUCUUUGACGUUAAGCAGUACCAGAGCUUAGCAUCGAUCGCAUCGAUUCGAUACCGAAGUCGCUGGGUAACCACGGGAUCCACGGCAGAGCGUUUUGGCACGGGCCGGUCCUCCGUCUCCUCUUCCACCGGACGGAUGCGAAAAUUUCUCUAUGCUCCUCCUCGUCCAGCUGCACGUGGUAAUCAUGAUACAGAGAAUCCGGUGUCGGACACGCUCCUCCUUAUUAAUCAUCAAUCAUCAGACAUGUAUUAUUAUAACUUUGUACCCGCCCGAUCCGAUCGUCGACGAACGUUCCUUUUACUCGCGAUUCUAUCUACGUCGGAAUAUAAAACAACUCCGAUGAAAAUAUUCGCGGCGAAACGAUCGCCGAUAAUUUCAAGGUACUCGACAAUUAUGAAACUGUUACCGCCUAUACGUUACACCUGUAUUGGAAACAUCGAGCGUUUACGAGACCGGUUACACGCGAUUGAUAUACGGCUGUUAUUCUUUAAUUCCAAGCCGCUUUUGCGCGUGAUUUUCAUACGUCCCGUUUUAACUCGUUUAAUAAAUAAUAUUCCACGUACGUGUAUCUACGUUUUACGUAAUAUGCAUAUACGGGGCGCGCUUCAUCGAAGCGUUCGCCGAAGCGAAACGAAGUGUACAGUUAAAUCGAGCAUCGUCUAAUCUCUUAAAAGAAAUUUCGCAUCAAUCACCUCCGCGUACAAAGAGUUUUCCUUUCGGUCGACUGGUUCGCCAGCGACAAAAUGAUCGCGAUUAACGUCGCGCGAUCCACUCUGCCGUUCAAAAAAAUCGCUCCUCUUCAAAAUUUGUCUUCGCCGUCUAUCCAUCCAAAUCCGAAGUACGCCGAUCUCAUCGAUCUUCCAUCAGCCAGGCGUGAAGAGAAGAGAUUCGGGUCAACUCGAAAAUCGAAGGGGACGAGUGUCUCCGGAGGAGCAAAGGUCAGUCGAGCACGGAAGGGAAAAAAGACGUUGGGUGCACUCGAGAAGGGUGUUGCACGCGUAAGGAAGAAACAGGACGGGUAUAAAUACGAAUAGAAAGAAAAAGAAGCGAGGUGGAGGUCUGCUCGCCAGCUGACAGUCUCGUGCCGCAACCUGAAACUCUUUUCGAAGAUUCGGUUGCUGCCACGACCUCGCCGUGUACGUAUACGUAUUUUCAUAUCGUCUCUGCCUGCUGGUUUUUGCGCUCCAUCGGCGAGGGACAUUCGAUCUCUCAUCGAUUCGGGUAUGCGCUGCGCUACUUCCAACCGACCGCCGAUGUUUAAUCGGUCGAUCGACCUUUGACGGUAAAUCGGAAUCCGAGAACCGAUAGCGCGAAGAAUGAACCAGCGACUUCGUUCCCGCGACGCGGUUCCUUCCUCCUCCCGCGCAAUAUUCCUCUCCGUCUUCGUCGCAUUCCCGUUGGUAUUGAUCCGUUGAGUUUUCGAAAGUAAAAUGGGUUAUACUGUUGAAUCGCAACGACAACUCCGGACAGCGUCGGAACAAAAACGAGGAAAACCGAAAGGAAGGGAACGAACCGAACCGGGGAUGGGAUCUCUGGGAGGACGCGUACGCUUGACGAACGCGUAAAUUCUGCCUCUGUGCAUCUACGUAUGCAUCUACGUGCAUGUAUCUUCGGUGUGGAAGUUUGCGCGAUGAAGAAAACGGACUUACAACGGGGAAGACGACCGAGUAGGAGCAGAUGAACGAGAGAGAUAGAGAGAGAGGAGGAGGUGAUGAGGGCGAGGGCGAUGGAAGAGACGGAGAGUUUGCAAAGUUUCGAGAUUCAAGAGCGAUGCUCUCAAUACGACAAGUUUGUGCAAACAACAGCUUCCAGAGAUGGAUAAUGUCGAGGAUAAAUCAAGGAAAUUUAAUAAAUUGACGUCGCGAGGUUCGUUUGAUCGUAUCCGCGUCCUUACAUCAGCUAUCCUUUCACACAGCGGACAGUUCUAUCGACAUAGACUUCGCCGUUCUUUCUUGUACGCAUGAAACUUUUCAGGAAAUCAUGUUCAUCGUCAGUUCUUUAUAUUUACAUCACACUGAUCGAUGAGUGCGAUAGCUGUAUAAGUCGGGACGUAAGAGAAAAUUGGAUAUUUACGGCACGACAAAGAGGCGAAACAAAAGAAUGGUUCGUUUCGAUUCGAAACUGUGUUAACGUUGAUGUACGUACGCGUAAACGUGCACGUACAACCUCCUCUCUUUCGUUCCUUCGAUCGUCCUCAUCCUAUUUUAGCACCCUUUUCGGGACUAGCUACCCAAGGGAAUCAAUAACCGAGGAGGAAGCGACCGUAGGAUUCGGGAACCAGCGCGGCGGCGGCGGCGGAAAGGCGCGGGACGGAAGAGCGAGGAGAACGCGAGGAAGCAAAGAGUAGCGUCGACGAGGGGCGUCGCGUUGAGUAGAAGAGCUCACCUCGGAGGGUGUCGGUGGGUGUCAGCGGGUAGGGUGCAACAGGGACCGCGAACUUUAGGGUGGAGGUAGGUGGCACGCGAGCUUGGCUCCGCCUCCGGCACGCGACCAGCACGCGACCGCUGCCAUCGACCACCACCGCCGCCGCCGCCGCCUACAACCACCUUCAACCACCGUCGCUAUUACCGCUACAGUUACCACUGUCCUUCUUUCAUCCCGACCACCUUCAUCCGCGAUUACGCAAUCCCUUACACUUCCUGCCUCUUUCUUCGAUGCUGCCUCUUAUCGUUUUCAAUCUUUAACCGCUCGAGUUCCGUAUAUCCCUUCUUUGUACACGCCAAUAGAAAUUU